UCCCUGUGUGAAAUCUUGCAAUAGGACC
RNAcentral lists this non-coding RNA (28 nucleotides) under Bombyx mori (domestic silkworm). Lineage: Eukaryota; Metazoa; Arthropoda; Insecta; Lepidoptera; Bombycidae. The record is from RNAcentral.